Tupaia belangeri chinensis (Chinese tree shrew) is the source of this 1304-nucleotide long non-coding RNA. RefSeq lists it as uncharacterized. Lineage: Eukaryota; Metazoa; Chordata; Mammalia; Scandentia; Tupaiidae. The transcript is spliced from 3 exons. The record is from RefSeq and is a predicted model, not a curated record.
GAAGCGCUCAGCCGCUGGCGGCGUGCUGGACUGGGAGCCGCUCCCUGCGCGCGCUGCCUCCACCGCUUCGGCGCAUUCCCGGGGCACCUACCGAUGGCCUCGGGCGCAGGGCUGGGGCUACUGCUCCUAACCACGCGGGCUCCAGCCGAAUUUAGCAGGGUCGGGAGAAGGGGGUCUGACCACUGGUCCGGAAUCCUGUCUUUAGGCACAGGGACAGGAAGCCGGCCAGUGCCCUCCAGGGACUAGAUGGGACAAGGGACGCGUAGCGGCCCAGCUUUAAACCAGCUGGCGCCGGCAGGAACUAGCCGACUUGCAGCUGGUGCUCAGAUGCGACUUCAUGAACGUCCCGAAGACACCGGGUGGAGAAGUGGAGGAGAGUUCUGAGUGGAGGAAUAAAGCGGGGAGAAGUGCAACGGCGGUUUAGGUGGUGGAUGCAGAACAGCCUAGGAGGGCAUGGUCAACAGGGUCCAGAAGACUCUUUGGACAUCAGUGAAGACCACCCAAAGAGGACAGAGGCCAUGCAUUCAGAGAUUUCUAUGGCAAGAAAGUGAAGCACCAUUACUUGCACUUGGCAGAGAGUCAAAUACAAAUGGAAACUCAGACAAUGGUGGUGGGAAAAGUUUCAGGAGUGCUCCAAUUGGCAGUAUCUGGCAGGGGAAGCUGCUGGUGGGGAUCUAGUGUGAUUGCUUAGAGAGGCUAUUUGGCUCUUUCAAGUCAGUCCAGGGUUGGAAAUAGGGGCAGCUGACAGUCGUUGAGGGAGUCCUGACGUUCUGCUGAGGCUGUGGUCUGGGUUCCUGGACUGGUUUCUGCAGAGGCAGUGGUCAGUUUUCGUGUCAUGUAUGGUCUGGCCAUUGUUCCUUGGUACAGUCAGUCUAUUCAUUAAUUAAUCAUGCUACACCUCUGCUACUCCUAAGCCCGGGGAUUGCAUAAAGUCACCCUGUAAGGGCUGGCCCAUAGCAUAGCGCAGGGCUUAGGCAUGGUGCAUUGAAAGCUGGACCCCACAUGGCCACCGUGGUUGAAUCUCAACCCUGGAAGCUUGAAAAACCGGCAGGUGCAUGUGUGUCUGUGCCUUAAAUCCUGCUGCAAUGGGAAAUGGAGGAACAGGAAUGCAGCAUGACCAAGUCCCACCUGGGGGUGGUGCUUUCUCCUCCCCUCACCUCAAGGGUACAUGCACCCUUCGGUAAUGAAAAAAACAAAGAAGUUACCUAGAAGUGCAAAGCAGCUUGACCACAAGCCAACAGCUGUGAUUCCCUCCCCACCCCCAAAUUUGCUAGAAGGCGCAUGUGCUCACCAGAGAGAGACAG